Molecule: ribosomal RNA, 458 nt
Filed under: uncultured bacterium
Lineage: Bacteria
Description: SSU rRNA
Rfam family: Bacterial small subunit ribosomal RNA
Source: RNAcentral
AGGAUGAACGCUGGCGGUCUGCUUAACACAUGCAAGUCGAACGGGCGUAGCAAUACGUUAGUGGCGGACGGGUGAGUAACGCGUGAGAAUCUACCUUCAGGACGGAGACAACAGUUGGAAACGACUGCUAACCCCCGAUGUACUGAAAAGGCAAAUAUUUAUAGCCUGAAGAAGAGCUCGCGUCCGAUUAGCUAGUUGGAGAGGUAAAAGCUCACCAAGGCGACGAUCGGUAGCUGGUCUGAGAGGACGAUCAGCCACACUGGGACUGAGACACGGCCCAGACUCCUACGGGAGGCAGCAGUGGGAAUUUUCCGCAAUGGGCGAAAGCCUGACGGAGCAAGACCGCGUGGGGGAAGAAGGCUCUUGGGUUGUAAACCCCUUUUCUCUGGAAGAAGUUGUGAAAGCAGCCUGACGGUACCAGAGGAAUCAGCAUCGGCUAACUCCGUGCCAGCAGCCGC